RNAcentral lists this ribosomal RNA (1443 nucleotides) under Pseudechiniscus islandicus. RNAcentral describes it as "eukaryotic LSU rRNA". It matches the Rfam family "Eukaryotic large subunit ribosomal RNA", at positions 646 to 1868 of the family's 3401-position model. The record is from RNAcentral. Lineage: Eukaryota; Metazoa; Tardigrada; Heterotardigrada; Echiniscoidea; Echiniscidae.
AACCCGUCUUGAAACACGGACCAAGGAGUUCAACAUAUGCGCAGGUCGUUGGGUGUUUGGUAUACCCUAAGGCCUAGUGAAAGCAAGCGAUGCCAUUCGAUGGUAUCAUUUUGGCGAGAUCCUGGCGCCUCGUGCGUUAGGCGCAUCGCCGGCCCGUUUAUUGGCCACGCGCCAUGGACGGAGUUAGAGCGCAUACGCUGAGACCCGAAAGAUGGUGAACUAUGCCUGGACAGGAUGAAGCCAGAGGAAACUCUGGUGGAAGUCCGUAGCGAUUCUGACGUGCAAAUCGAUCGUCUGAUCUGGGUAUAGGGGCGAAAGACUAAUCGAACCAUCUAAUUGCUGGUUCCCUCCGAAGUUUCCCUCAGGAUAGCUGGUGCUCGGUUUUAAGCAGUCUCUCCCGGUAAAGCGAAUGAUUAGAGGCAUUGGGACCGAAACGGUCUCAACCUAUUCUCAAACUUUAAAUGGGUGAGAAGUCCGGCUUACUUGAUUUGAAGUCUGGACCAUUAAAUUGGAUGCAUGAUAACUAAGUGGGCCAUUUUUGGUAAGCAGAACUGGCGCUGUGGGAUGAACCGAACGUUGAGUUACGGCGCCUGAUUAUAGACGCUCAUCAGAUACCACAAAAGGUGUUGGUUGCUAUAGACAGCAGGACGGUGGCCAUGGAANUCGGAACCCGCUAAGGAGUGUGUAACAACUCACCUGCCGAAGCAACUAGCCCUGAAAAUGGAUGGCGCUUGAGCGUUUAGCCUAUACUCAACCGUUGUGGCACACGCUGUGGUAAGCGAUUACCGUAUUUUGUGCUUUUAUGGCACAUGCGUGCUAGUCAUGCCUCAACGAGUAGGAGGGUCGCGGCGAUAUGCUUUGAAGGUUUAGCGACGUGAGUCGGACUGGAGCUGUCGUCGGUGCAGAUCUUGGUGGUAGUAGCAAAUACUCAAGCGAGAACCUUGAGGACUGAAGUGGAGAAGGCUUCCAUGUGAACAGCAGUUGAACAUGGGUCAGUCGAUCCUAAAGCAUCGGCGAAGGCCGUUCAGAAGCGGUGUUGGUUUUGUGGCAGCGUGCUGUUUCGGCAGUACGUUGUCCGGCUAUAGGCGCUCGCUCGUUUAUAGUCACCGCACCUGCUGAAAGGGAAUUGGAUUAAUAUUUCCAAACCUAACAGCGGAGAUUGGUUGCUCAAUAGGCUGCACGGGUCUUGUGCUCGUUGCAGUCGGGGCAGCGCGCUGCGGUAACGCAAACGAACUCGGACACGCUAACAGGAGUCCCGGGAAGAGUUGUCUUUUCUUCAUAAGGAGUCAAUUCCAUGGAAUUGGUUCAGCCAGAGAUAUGGAAAUGACGUCCGAAAAGCAUCGCGCUUCUUGCGAUGUCCGGUGCGCUCCAAGCGGCCCUUGAAACUCCGAGGGAGAGAAUGAUUUUCGUGUUAGAUCGUACCCAUAUCCGCAGCGGGUCUCC